RNAcentral lists this ribosomal RNA (425 nucleotides) under uncultured Oscillospiraceae bacterium. RNAcentral's name for it is "bacterial SSU rRNA". It matches the Rfam family "Bacterial small subunit ribosomal RNA", at positions 355 to 794 of the family's 1533-position model. Lineage: Bacteria; Bacillati; Bacillota; Clostridia; Eubacteriales; Oscillospiraceae. The record is from RNAcentral.
UGGGGAAUAUUGGGCAAUGGGCGAAAGCCUGACCCAGCAACGCCGCGUGAAGGAAGAAGGUUUUCGGAUUGUAAACUUCUUUUAUCAGGGACGAAGAAAGUGACGGUACCUGAUGAAUAAGCCACGGCUAACUACGUGCCAGCAGCCGCGGUAAUACGUAGGUGGCAAGCGUUAUCCGGAUUUACUGGGUGUAAAGGGCGCGUAGGCGGGGAUGCAAGUCAGAUGUGAAAUACCGGGGCUUAACCCCGGAGCUGCAUUUGAAACCGCAGUUCUUGAGUAUCGGAGAGGCAGGCGGAAUUCCUAGUGUAGCGGUGAAAUGCGUAGAUAUUAGGAGGAACACCAGUGGCGAAGGCGGCCUGCUGGACGACAACUGACGCUGAGGCGCGAAAGCGUGGGGAGCAAACAGGAUUAGAUACCCUGGUAGU